UGCUGGAGGUUGCUGCUAUCUGAGUUCGACUAAGCCAUGCAAGUCAGGUCGUAAGACCGGCGAAAUGCUCAGUAACACGUAGUUAACCUACCAUAUGGUGGAGAAUAACCUCGGAAACCUGAGGAUAAUGCUCCAUAGGGAAUGCAUUCUGGAAGGACGCAUUCUUUAAACGUAAGGUCAUAUGAUGGGACUGCGGCGGAUUAGGUUGUUGGCAGGGUAAUGGCCUACCAAGCCUUCGAUCCGUACGGGCCUUGAAAGAGGGAACCCGGAGAGGGACACUGAGAUACUGGUCCCAGCCCUACGGGGUGCAGCAGGCGCGAAACCUUUACAAUGCACGAAAGUGUGAUAGGGGGACUCAGAGUGCUCAUGCAUAGCAUGGGCUUUUGCCAAGUCAAAACUGCUUGGCGAAUAAGUGGUGGGAAAGACUGGUGCCAGCCGCCGCGGUAACACCAGCGCCACGAGUGGGAGCCACUAUUAUUGGGCCUAAAGCGUCCGUAGCAGGCCUGUUAAAUUACUUGUGAAAUCGGAUGGCCUAACCAUCCGGAAUGCAGGUAAGACUGAUAGGCUAGAGACCGGAAGAAGUUGGAGGUAUUCAAGGGGGAGCGGUAAAAUGCGAGAAUCCCUUGAGGACCACCUGUUGCGAAGGCGUCCAACAAUGACGGGUCUGACUGUGAGGGACGAAAGCCAGGGGAGCGAACCGGAUUAGAU
RNAcentral lists this ribosomal RNA (708 nucleotides) under uncultured euryarchaeote. Its description in RNAcentral is "bacterial SSU rRNA". It matches the Rfam family "Archaeal small subunit ribosomal RNA", at positions 15 to 734 of the family's 1478-position model. The record is from RNAcentral. Lineage: Archaea; Methanobacteriati; Methanobacteriota.